CCUACGGGUGGCAGCAGUGAGGAAUAUUGGUCAAUGGUCGGGAGACUGAACCAGCCAAGCCGCGUGCGGGAGGAAGGUACAGAGUAUCGUAAACCUCUUUUGUGAGGGAACAAAGACUGGGACGCGUCCCCGGAUGAGUGUACCUGAUGAAAAAGCAUCGGCUAACUCCGUGCCAGCAGCCGCGGUAAUACGGAGGAUGCGAGCGUUAUCCGGAUUUAUUGGGUUUAAAGGGUGCGCAGGCCGUCUUUUAAGUCCGCGGUCAAAGGCCGGGGCUCAACCCCGGCCCCGCAGCGGAAACUGGUAGUCUCGAGUGGGAGAGAAGUAUGCGGAAUGCGCGGUGUAGCGGUGAAAUGCAUAGAUAUCGCGCAGAACUCCGAUUGCGAAGGCAGCAUGCCGUCUCGUCACUGACGCUGAGGCACGAAGGCGCGGGGAGCGAACAGGAUUAGAUACCCUUGUAGUC
This 460-nucleotide ribosomal RNA is filed under the name uncultured bacterium. RNAcentral describes it as "partial 16S ribosomal RNA". It matches the Rfam family "Bacterial small subunit ribosomal RNA", at positions 338 to 795 of the family's 1533-position model. The record is from RNAcentral.